RNAcentral lists this long non-coding RNA (297 nucleotides) under Pan troglodytes (chimpanzee). RNAcentral's name for it is "long non-coding RNA NONPTRT005707". The record is from RNAcentral. Lineage: Eukaryota; Metazoa; Chordata; Mammalia; Primates; Hominidae.
CAGUGGAACAACAAAGCCUGGACGAUAGCACAUCUGUUUACAGCAUGGUUUACUGAAUAUUUAAAGCCCACUAUUUAGACCUACUGCAGAAGAAAAAAGAUUUCUGCUUUCAAAAUAUCACUGCUCUAGUAAAUACCCCAAAACUUAGUGACUGAAAACAAUAGUAAUCAUUUAUUCUCUCUUAUGUUUCUGUGGGUCAGGAAUCUAUGUGGUAAUGCUUGUCCAGGAGUUGCCAGUGUGUCUUUACUAAUCAUGGUUGCACCUGGCACUCACAAAACCUCCUGGAGGUACACAUAU